AGGACGAACGCUGGCGGCGUGCUUAACACAUGCAAGUCGAGCGGUGAUCCUCCUUCGGGAGGUGAUCAGCGGCGAACGGGUGAGUAACACGUGGGCAACCUGCCCCCUCACACUGGGAUAACCUCGGGAAACCGGGGCUAAUACCGGAUACGACCUCGAGCGGCAUCUCUUGAGGUGGAAAGCUCCGACGGUGAGGGAUGGGCCCGCGGCCUAUCAGCUUGUUGGUGGGGUAAUGGCCUACCAAGGCGACGACGGGUA
Molecule: ribosomal RNA, 258 nt
Filed under: uncultured bacterium
Lineage: Bacteria
Description: partial small subunit ribosomal RNA
Rfam family: Bacterial small subunit ribosomal RNA
Source: RNAcentral